AACUAACGCUGGCGGCGUGCCUAACACAUGCAAGUCGUACGAGAAAGUUGGCUUCGGCCGAUGAGUACAGUGGCGCACGGGUGAGUAACGCGUGGAUAAUCUGCCCUUAAGUGUGGAAUAACGUACCGAAAGGUGCGCUAAUACCGCAUAAUGCCUGGCAACAUAAGUUGUCCGGCCAAAGAAGGCCUCUGCUUGCAAGCUUUCGCUAAAGGAUGAGUCCGCGUACCAUUAGCUAGUUGGUGGGGUAACGGCCUACCAAGGCGACGAUGGUUAGCUGGUCUGAGAGGAUGAUCAGCCACACUGGAACUGAGACACGGUCCAGACUCCUACGGGAGGCAGCAGUGAGGAAUAUUGGGCAAUGGGGGAAACCCUGACCCAGCGACGCCGCGUGGGUGAAGAAAUCCUUCGGGAUGUAAAGCCCUGUUGUAUGGGAAGAGCGGAAGACGGGUACCAUACGAGGAAGCCCCGGCAAACUACGUGCCAGCAGCCGCGGUAAUCUCGU
This 502-nucleotide ribosomal RNA is filed under the name uncultured bacterium. RNAcentral describes it as "bacterial SSU rRNA". It matches the Rfam family "Bacterial small subunit ribosomal RNA", at positions 29 to 528 of the family's 1533-position model. The record is from RNAcentral.